CCUUUGGUUUUACACACUAAUGUCUACAGGGACACAAUCUACUUCAUUACGUCAGAUCACUUGAACAUAAAAUUUUAUAUUUUUUUUUCUGAUUAGGCUGAGUAAAUCAAGGUAAAUGUGUAUUCUUCUGCCGUAACACUGGAGCCAACACACAUCAUUUGCAAAGAAGCUUGAAAGGAAACGGAGUAGGAAUCACUUAGGAUUCCUAUUUGGAAAAAAAAAAAUGUCCCCAGAUUUAUAAAUGCCUAGCCCUGAAAAUGGUUAGCAUGUAAUCUCCAGUUUUAUCCUGCAAAGGGAUAUAGGACUGGAAGAGAAGAGAGAAGGGCAAUAAGGAGUGAUUUUUGAAUUAAGAAUGAUUAAAUGGAGACAACUCUGCAGACCAUUUUGGAAACAAAAGGAGAAAGGGCAAGUUUGGCUCAAAAUAUUUCACUCAGAUCUCUUCUUCUCAAUGGAAUUGAAAGGAAGCCUUAAUGGAGAGACCAGCACAGCAACUGUCUUAAAAUGUGUCUGUAGGGAU
This 517-nucleotide long non-coding RNA is filed under the name Calidris pugnax (ruff). RNAcentral's name for it is "lncRNA (ENSCPUG00000012355.1)". The record is from RNAcentral. Lineage: Eukaryota; Metazoa; Chordata; Aves; Charadriiformes; Scolopacidae.